Panicum virgatum (switchgrass) is the source of this 2626-nucleotide long non-coding RNA. RefSeq lists it as uncharacterized. The record is from RefSeq and is a predicted model, not a curated record. NCBI's taxonomy places the organism in Eukaryota, Viridiplantae, Streptophyta, Magnoliopsida, Poales, Poaceae. The transcript is spliced from 2 exons.
AGUUUGUUCGGAUUCCGAAGUGAAAAGAGUUGAAUGGAUCGUUGGCCUCCGGGCAUGUCAGCUCGUGAAUUUUGAAUGGUUUCACUUUGGAUCGUGGUUAGGACUUCAUAGCUUUAAUAGAUUUCACAUCAUAAUUCUUAUGUGAUCUUUCCUAGGUUUCCUUAGUGACCUGUCAUGAAUUUAGGUGGGGUUUGCUGUUGCAAUGCUUGCCAGUGGGGAGAUAGGUUUAAUAGAGUUUGUGUGUUUACUGGUGUACGUUCUGGUAGAUUAGCAAGCAAUUAUGAACGUUUUAUUGCAUAUUUGUCCUGUGAUACGAGUAUUUGCAGAAAAGAAUAGAAAGGAAUAAGCUGUCAAGCUGUGAUCUGCUAUUCUUAAAAUUUCCUGCUUAGACAGCUAUGAUUAUUAGUUUGGGGACAUGAAGAAUAUACACAGCAGAUUCAUCACAACAUGUUCCACUGCAAUUUGUUGAUAAAAGUACAAAUUGCCUUUUCAGUUGUGCUAAUCUUGCUGUUAAGAUGCUACAAGUGGUACUGGCUGGUAAUUCCUUUUUUGAACAGUACUACUUUCUUGUUAUCAUAUUUUCUGUGCUUAACAUUUACAUUCUAGAGCUAACAAUGUGUAAAGUAAAGAGUAUUCUUAGAACAGAGGAGAGAGGUGAAAGACCACCUUCCAUUUCUCAUGAACUGUGUGAUAAAAAUUGAAUAGUAGGUGCACAAAGAGGUGCUCAUGUAAAGAAGUUAAAAAGUCGCAAGAAUGGAUUAACCGUAUCGAUCCACCAAAAUUCUGUUGUGCACUAGAAUUCGGAAUAGGUUUCACAAGAGCGCAUAAUAAUGAGCUAAACAGUGUAGUGGAUUAUUUCCUUUUGUCCACCUAGCAAUCAGUAUGUCAUAAAUAACUGAGUACAAGUCUGAUUCCUCAUCUUCUUGCUUGCCCUCAUAUCGAUAUAUGACUUUCUUCACUUUACCUAUCAUUGAAUCCCACAUCUCAUAAACUAAGUGAAGGCAUGGUGUGUCGGUGUCUGUCAUACGAAUCAUUUCGUAUAUAGGAGUGGUAAUCCUAAGAAUGUAGUCCACCUUGUCCCACCAUACAUCAUUAAGUAUCAAGUCCUUGACAAUUUGGGCCGUUGGAGUUGGAGAAUCAUCUCUGGCUUCUUUGUAGAUGCUCCAUUUGUCACUAAUCACCAUUUGUUGGAGGGCUGAUUUUACCUCAACAAACUGCUUCAACAAACAUACAACAGAGGCAAAUCUUGUUUCAGCAAUAGAAAGUAACUUCAAACGGCUGAACUCAUUGAACAUUGAAAGCCGCAUGCCAUGAUUCAUGAUAAAAUUCUUUAUCAAAGCAGCCUCAGUUUUGACAUCAUAUAUAAAUUCAAGUUGCUGCCAAAUAAAUAUCUCAUCAUCAGAAGGAUUGUUUCCUAUUUUUGGUUCACAUAUACUUUUCAUAGCAAGGUUGAGGGUAUGCACAACACAUGGUGUCCAAAAUAUGUUUUUAUACUCAGCCUCAAUAAUGAGACCAGCACCUUUGCAAUUUGAAGCAUUGUCUGUAAUGAUUUGCACUACAUUAUCUCAACCUACUUCAUCAAUUAUACCUCUCAACUUGUCAGCAAUGUAGUCCAUGUUUUUGAUCUCACCUUGACAAUUAUCAGCCCUCAAGAACAUAGGUGACUUGUCACAAACAGCAACAAAAUUGAUUAUUGGUCGCCUUUGAGGAUCUGACCAACCAUCAGUGCAGAUUGUUACUCCCUUCUCUGGCCAUGUGCUCUUUGUGCUCUCCAACAACCGCUCUAUGUGCCUCCUUUCUUGCUUCAGCAGUCCCUCUCUAACUCUCACAUAACCUUGCAUGUUGCGGCUGCAAGCAAAGGAAAAGGCUUCUCGAAGAUCCUACGCUACCAGUUGCACUAGCACCGCUCAAAUUGGGAGAUGCCAUCUACUGCAUACAAGCAAUCAAGCAACAAAACUCACUAACUCCACUGCUGAAACAGAACAGAUCGAGAUUGGGGAGAGCCGGAGAGGGAACAGAUCGAGAUUGGGGAGAGGAAGACGAAGUGGGUAGCAAGGAAAUCAAACAGCAACUGGCUACGAACUCAAGAAGAAGAGGAGAUCGAGAUUGGGGAAGGCCGGAAGGGGAUAGGAUAACUCACCGGAGCUGGAUCCACGUCGCAGGGGCGGUACUCGUCGCCGGCGAGUAGGGACGGAGCACGUCGCCGGCGAGCAGGGACGGAGCUCGUCGCCGGCGAGCAGGGACGGGUGCUCGUCGCCGGCGGGCGGGCGGGCGGCGGGCGGCGAGCAGGGACGGCGUGAUGCGGGAGUGCGGGAGUGCGGCGCGCUGCUGGCUAGGGCGACGGGGGAUAUGCGACAUGUUAUUGGGCUGGGCCGUAUCCACGAAACGGUGAUAUGCCGUAUCCAUGAACUUGAUACGUAUCAGGACGCGUAUCCGUUUUUUUUAUUUAAUAAAAAUCGGAUACUUAUUGGAUACGUAUCGGACGCGUAUCGGACGCGUAUCGGAUACGUAUCCAUAUCCGAUACGCGAUACGCGUGUUCAGCCAAGUAUCCGUGCAACGUAGAAUAUAUGUGCUGUUUGAUAAUUGAAAAGUAAUGAGGAGAAGUCCUAUCAUUGAACUUUUUUU